AACGCACCUUGCGCUCCUUGGUAUUCUGAGGAGCAUGCCUAUUUGAGUGUCAGUAAAUCCUCAAGUCCAUCAGCUUUUCUAGUUGGGGUGACUUGGAAAUGAAGAACCUGCGGGCCUUGUAUAAUAUAGGCUGGCUCCUCUGAAAUGCAUUAGCAGAAUGAUACUGGAAUUGCCACAGAGUGUGAUAACAUCUACACUAGUGGAUCGCCCAUAGUUGUUCAGCUUCUAACUGUCCCGCAAAGGUGACAACUAAUUACUGAAUGUGUGACCUCAAAUCAGGUAGGAUUACCCGCUGAACUUAA
RNAcentral lists this unclassified non-coding RNA (302 nucleotides) under uncultured Agaricales. RNAcentral describes it as "sequence contains 5.8S rRNA gene, ITS2, 28S rRNA gene". The record is from RNAcentral. Lineage: Eukaryota; Fungi; Basidiomycota; Agaricomycetes; Agaricales.